Molecule: ribosomal RNA, 245 nt
Filed under: uncultured bacterium
Lineage: Bacteria
Description: partial 16S ribosomal RNA
Rfam family: Bacterial small subunit ribosomal RNA
Source: RNAcentral
UACGUAGGGGCCUAGCGUUGUCCGGAUUUAUUGGGCGUAAAGAGCUCGUAGGCGGCUUGGUUAGUCGGGUGUGAAAUCUCCACGCUCAACGUGGAGGGGCCACCCGAUACUGCCAUGGCUUGAGUCCGGUAGGGGAGUGUGGAAUUCCCGGUGUAGCGGUGAAAUGCGCAGAUAUCGGGAGGAACACCCGUAGCGAAGGCGGCACUCUGGGCCGGUACUGACGCUGAGGAGCGAAAGCGUGGGGA